AACGAGCGCUGGCGGCGCGUCUUAAGCAUGCAAGUCGAACGGCAAGAGAGGAGCUUGCUUCUCUCCUAGAGUGGCGGACUGGUGAGGAACACGUGGGUAAUCUACCCUUAAGAUGGGGAUAGCUGCUAGAAAUAGCAGGUAAUACCGAAUACACUCGGCAUAUCACAAGAGGUGUUGAGGAAAGGAAGCUACGGCUUCGCUUGAGGAUGAGCUUGCGUCCCAUUAGCUAGUUGGUGAGGUAAAGGCCCACCAAGGCGACGAUGGGUAUCCGGCCUGAGAGGGUGAACGGACACAUUGGGACUGAGAUACGGCCCAAACUCCUACGGGAGGCAGCAGCUAAGAAUAUUCCGCAAUGGACGGAAGUCUGACGGAGCGACGCCGCGUGGAUGAAGAAGGCUGAAAAGUUGUAAAAUCCUUUUGUUGAUGAAGAAUAAGGGUGAGAGGGAAUGCUCAUCUGAUGACGGUAAUCGACGAAUAAGCCCCGGCUAAGUACGUG
This 496-nucleotide ribosomal RNA is filed under the name uncultured bacterium. RNAcentral's name for it is "partial 16S ribosomal RNA". It matches the Rfam family "Bacterial small subunit ribosomal RNA", at positions 29 to 507 of the family's 1533-position model. The record is from RNAcentral.